GAUGAACGCUGGCGGCGUGCUUAACACAUGCAAGUCGAACGAAGCACUUUAUUUGAUUUCCUUCGGGACUGAUUAUUUUGUGACUGAGUGGCGGACGGGUGAGUAACGCGUGGGUAACCUGCCUUGUACAGGGGGAUAACAGUUGGAAACGGCUGCUAAUACCGCAUAAGCGCACAGCAUCGCAUGAUGCAGUGUGAAAAACUCCGGUGGUAUAAGAUGGACCCGCGUUGGAUUAGCUAGUUGGUGAGGUAACGGCCCACCAAGGCGACGAUCCAUAGCCGACCUGAGAGGGUGACCGGCCACAUUGGGACUGAGACACGGCCCAAACUCCUACGGGAGGCAGCAGUGGGGAAUAUUGCACAAUGGGCGUAAGCCUGAUGCAGCGACGCCGCGUGAGCGAAGAAGUAUUUCGGUAUGUAAAGCUCUAUCAGCAGGGAAGAUAAUGACGGUACCUGACUAAGAAGCACCGGCUAAAUACGUG
RNAcentral lists this ribosomal RNA (481 nucleotides) under uncultured bacterium. Its description in RNAcentral is "partial 16S ribosomal RNA". It matches the Rfam family "Bacterial small subunit ribosomal RNA", at positions 28 to 507 of the family's 1533-position model. The record is from RNAcentral.